UACAGAGGGUGCGAGCGUUAAUCGGAAUUACUGGGCGUAAAGCGUGCGUAGACGGCUAUCUAAGUCGGGUGUGAAAGCCCCGGGCUCAACCUGGGAAUUGCAUUCGAGACUGAAUAGCUAGGGUACGGUAGAGGGAAGUGGAAUUUCCGGUGUAGCGGUGAAAUGCGUAGAUAUCGGGAGGAACACCAGUGGCGAAGGCGACUUCCUGGCCUGUUCUUGACGCUGAGGCGCGAAAGCGUGGGGAGCGAACAGG
This 253-nucleotide ribosomal RNA is filed under the name uncultured bacterium. RNAcentral's name for it is "partial 16S ribosomal RNA". It matches the Rfam family "Bacterial small subunit ribosomal RNA", at positions 524 to 776 of the family's 1533-position model. The record is from RNAcentral.